UUCUGUGAAUGCUACUUUUCAGUAUCUGUUAUUCUUAACUGUGAUUUGUCGCAGUUAAGAGUCGCAGUUAAGGAACAUAGGUCGUGUAUCCCUCCGCCACUGCUAUUUCUGCGAUUUCUGCUACUUCCGCGAUUUCUGUGACUUCUGCUACUUCUGCGAUUUCUGUGACUUCUGCUACUUCUGCGAUUUCUGCGACUUCUGCUACUUCUGCGAUUUCUGCGACUUACCACCGUAUGAAAAAGUUACAUCUGUCAACACAGAAAAUUGCAUCUCAACAAACCUGUCAUUGGCAAGUACCUGAACUACAUUUCAGUCACUCAGUAAAGUGAUAACUCAAAAUAUCAUUGUCAACAGAUCUGAAAAAAUUGCCACUGCGUCUUUAGACCGUUUUCGUCAGACGAGAGACACAGUUCUGACUCUGAUUACUGGUUGCUGUACGUAUCUAUCCACAUCAAGGCUGUUUUUGAGAGAGACUCGCGAAGAUUCAAGACAGCUCUUAGAGGAUUUACAGUUUAAAAGUGAAGUAAUUGUGAAAUAAGUGUGUGAAUGAUUAAACUGUGUUUUAUUGAAGUUGUUGUGCGAUUUUAAAGGAAUAAUAAAUGUCAAAUA
Molecule: long non-coding RNA, 609 nt
Organism: Schistocerca cancellata (South American locust)
Lineage: Eukaryota; Metazoa; Arthropoda; Insecta; Orthoptera; Acrididae
Exons: 3
Source: RefSeq, a predicted model, not a curated record